UGAUGGGGAGCACAGUGAUGACUCAUCGGCUGAUGACAUCACUCCAGCUGCGCCGACCGUCCGGGAGCCUGUCCCGCCAACGGAACGGCGUUAGUCACGGGUGUGUGGGCCUAUACAGGAUGGGAAAAGGUUGUGAUGUCCUCAACAAAAAUGGCUGCUACUGUAAGAUCAAUGAAAGUGCCUCUCUCAUGAAACCAUACGGAAGGAAGAAACAUAUGGAAUGAUGUAAACAGAACAAUGUGAACAUACAUGAAGGCUUCUUGCAUGGUUGCGGUACAGAAGUAUAUAUAGGCUGCAGUACAGGAGAGUGCUGUAAAUGAUGUACAACAGAAUGGAAGCUGUGCGUCUCACCCCUACUACCAGGCCACGUGUAUGCUGCAAUCAUUUAAUAUGUGGUAGUAAAUGCUUUGAUAAGGAACACAUUUAUACGUGGCAAAGUACCAAGACACAAUGACCAAUUAAUUAAGUGACUGUGCAUACAACUACAUGGAACAGCAGCCACACUAUGGAGCAGCAUUCAUCAUGUUACCU
Long non-coding RNA from Pseudophryne corroboree (corroboree frog), 531 nucleotides. RefSeq lists it as uncharacterized. The transcript has 3 exons. Lineage: Eukaryota; Metazoa; Chordata; Amphibia; Anura; Myobatrachidae. The record is from RefSeq and is a predicted model, not a curated record.